UACGUAGGGGGCUAGCGUUGUCCGGAGUCAUUGGGCGUAAAGAGCGUGUAGGCGGUCCGGUAAGUCCGCUGUGAAAGUCGGGGGCUCAACCCUCGAAUGCCGGUGGAUACUGUCGGGCUAGAGUGCGGAAGAGGCGAGUGGAAUUCCUGGUGUAGCGGUGAAAUGCGCAGAUAUCAGGAGGAACACCUAUUGCGAAGGCAGCUCGCUGGGACGUAACUGACGCUGAGACGCGAAAGCGUGGGGAGCAAACAGG
RNAcentral lists this ribosomal RNA (253 nucleotides) under uncultured bacterium. Its description in RNAcentral is "partial 16S ribosomal RNA". It matches the Rfam family "Bacterial small subunit ribosomal RNA", at positions 524 to 776 of the family's 1533-position model. The record is from RNAcentral.